RNAcentral lists this unclassified non-coding RNA (392 nucleotides) under soil metagenome. Its description in RNAcentral is "partial contains 5.8S ribosomal RNA, internal transcribed spacer 2, and large subunit ribosomal RNA". The stretch from base 1 to 122 matches the Rfam family "5.8S ribosomal RNA", at positions 35 to 154 of the family's 154-position model. The record is from RNAcentral.
GAUGAAGAACGUAGCAAAAUGCGAUACUUGGUGUGAAUUGCAGAAUCCCGUGAACCAUCGAGUCUUUGAACGCAAGUUGCGCCCGAAGCCAUUAGGCCGAGGGCACGCCUGCCUGGGCGUCACACGUCGUUGCCCCCCCCAUCUACUCCUUCGGGAUUGCGGGGGGCGGAUGAUGGCCUCCCGUGUGCCUCGCCGCGCGGUUGGCAUAAAUGCCAAGUCCUCGGCGACGCACGCCACGACAAUCGGUGGUUGCGAAACCUCGGUUGCCCGUCGUGUGCGGUCGUCGCGCAUCGAGGGCUCGAAAAAAUUGCCGGGUUCCGGCUCGGCUUUCAACGCGACCCCAGGUCAGGCGGGGUUACCCGCUGAAUUUAAGCAUAUCAAUAAGCGGAGGA